Molecule: transfer RNA, 78 nt
Filed under: Amaricoccus sp. HAR-UPW-R2A-40
Lineage: Bacteria; Pseudomonadati; Pseudomonadota; Alphaproteobacteria; Rhodobacterales; Paracoccaceae
Description: tRNA-OTHER
Rfam family: tRNA
About the family: Transfer RNA (tRNA) molecules are approximately 80 nucleotides in length.
Source: RNAcentral
GGGGCCUUAGCUCAGCUGGGAGAGCGCGAUGCUUGCAAGUACAUGAGGUCAUCGGUUCGAUCCCGAUAGGCUCCACCA